GGGUUAAGUCCCGCAACGAGCGCAACCCUUGCCAUCAGUUGCUACGAAAGGGCACUCUGAUGGGACUGCCGGUGACAAACCGGAGGAAGUGGGGAUGACGUCAAGUCCUCAUGGCCCUUAUAGGUGGGGCUACACACGUCAUACAAUGGCCGGUACAAAGGGCAGCCAACCCGCGAGGGGGGAGCCAAUCCCAUAAAGCCGGUCGUAGUCCGGAUCGCAGUCUGCAACUCGACUGCGUGAAGUCGGAAUCGCUAGUAAUCGUGGAUCAGCAUGUCACGGUGAGUACGUUCCCGGGUCUU
RNAcentral lists this ribosomal RNA (299 nucleotides) under uncultured Hydrogenophaga sp. RNAcentral's name for it is "partial 16S ribosomal RNA". It matches the Rfam family "Bacterial small subunit ribosomal RNA", at positions 1077 to 1382 of the family's 1533-position model. Lineage: Bacteria; Pseudomonadati; Pseudomonadota; Betaproteobacteria; Burkholderiales; Comamonadaceae. The record is from RNAcentral.